CCUACGGGUGGCAGCAGUGAGGAAUAUUGGUCAAUGGGCGGGAGCCUGAACCAGCCAAGCCGCGUGAAGGAAGAAGGCGCCAGGCGUCGUAAACUUCUUUUGUCGGGGAACAAAGGGCGCCACGUGUGGCGUUGUGAGUGUACCCGAAGAAAAAGCAUCGGCUAACUCCGUGCCAGCAGCCGCGGUAAUACGUAGGGGGCAAGCGUUAUCCGGAUUUACUGGGUGUAAAGGGAGCGUAGACGGUUAUGUAAGUCUGGAGUGAAAGCCCGGGGCCCAACCCCGGGACUGCUUUGGAAACUGUGUAACUGGAGUACAGGAGGGGCAGGCGGAAUUCCUGGUGUAGCGGUGAAAUGCGUAGAUAUCAGGAGGAACACCGGCGGCGAAGGCGGCCUGCUGGACUGAAACUGACGUUGAGGCUCGAAAGCGUGGGGAGCAAACAGGAUUAGAUACCCGAGUAGUC
Molecule: ribosomal RNA, 460 nt
Filed under: uncultured bacterium
Lineage: Bacteria
Description: partial 16S ribosomal RNA
Rfam family: Bacterial small subunit ribosomal RNA
Source: RNAcentral